AAAGAAAUCCCACCCAAAAAAGCUUCUAACUUUUUUUAAGAGCCUAGCGUUCAGAUUUCUU
This 61-nucleotide transfer RNA is filed under the name Dilophotes sp. H LB-2014. RNAcentral's name for it is "partial tRNA-Ser". The record is from RNAcentral. Lineage: Eukaryota; Metazoa; Arthropoda; Insecta; Coleoptera; Lycidae.